GACGAACGCUGGCGGCGUGCUUAACACAUGCAAGUCGAACGGAAAGGCCCUGCCUUUGUGGGGUGCUCGAGUGGCGAACGGGUGAGUAACACGUGAGUAACCUGCCCCUGACUUUGGGAUAACUUCUGGAAACUGGGGCUAAUACCGGAUAGGAGCUCCUGCUGCAUGGUGGGGUUUUGAAAGGUUCUGCGGUUGGGGAUGGACUCGCGGCCUAUCAGCUUGUUGGUGGGGUAGUGGCUUACCAAGGCUUUGACGGGUAGCCGGCCUGAGAGGGUGACCGGCCACACUGGGACUGAGACACGGCCCAGACUCCUACGGGAGGCAGCAGUGGGGAAUAUUGCACAAUGGGCGGAAGCCUGAUGCAGCAACGCCGCGUGAGGGAUGACGGCCUUCGGGUUGUAAACCGCUUUCGCCUGGGAAGAAGCGUGAGUGACGGUAAUUGGAGAAGAAGCACCGGCUAACUACGUG
RNAcentral lists this ribosomal RNA (468 nucleotides) under uncultured bacterium. Its description in RNAcentral is "partial 16S ribosomal RNA". It matches the Rfam family "Bacterial small subunit ribosomal RNA", at positions 28 to 507 of the family's 1533-position model. The record is from RNAcentral.